UGGGAUGACGUCAAAUCAUCAUGCCCCUUAUGACCUGGGCUACACACGUGCUACAAUGGUUGGUACAGACGGACGCAAAGCCGCGAGGUGGAGCAAAUCCCUAAAGUCGUCCUCAGUUCGGAUUGCAGGCUGCAACUCGCCUGCAUGAAGUCGGAAUCGCUAGUAAUCGCGGAUCAGCUACGCCGCGGUGAAUACGUUCUCGGGCCUU
Molecule: ribosomal RNA, 208 nt
Filed under: uncultured Aminicenantes bacterium
Lineage: Bacteria; Candidatus Aminicenantota
Description: partial 16S ribosomal RNA
Rfam family: Bacterial small subunit ribosomal RNA
Source: RNAcentral